Molecule: transfer RNA, 75 nt
Filed under: Mariniblastus fucicola
Lineage: Bacteria; Pseudomonadati; Planctomycetota; Planctomycetia; Pirellulales; Pirellulaceae
Description: tRNA-His
Rfam family: tRNA
About the family: Transfer RNA (tRNA) molecules are approximately 80 nucleotides in length.
Source: RNAcentral
GUGACAAUGGCUCAAUCAGGCAGAGCCCCUGUGUAUGAAACAGGUUGCUACCGGUUCAACUCCGGUUGGUCACCC